UGUCUGUAGUGCCAGCGCUGUUCCUGGCGUGCAUGGAAUACGUCCAGUUCAAUGUGAUUGUGGGAGGAAUCUAAGGGUGGUCCAGUUCUACAUCAAAAAUUGAGAAGCUCAGGCAUGAAUUUGAUGAGCAUUUGGUGCCAGUUGUCUGUGAAUAUCAGAAACCUCUUCAGGACGUACAUUCCGUUGCAUCUGCACUCAAGGUGUACUUCCUUGAACUUCCAAACCUUCUGUGCACAUACCAGCUCUACCACUCCUUUUUUGAUGCCUCUCAGCACAGUCCUGAAGUGGGUUGCAGACUUUUCCACAUGCAGCAUGCUGUGCAGAAACUGCCACAUCCCCACUAGAGGUAUCUUACGUGAUGCUUGUUAAUAAAUAAAGAAUUUUGUGUCAUGAACAAGUAUUUUACAUAGCUCAUCUCUGUUUAUUGUAUUGUACCCGUUUCACUUGUUAAAAAAGUAAUAUUUUAGGAAAUUGGUUAUCAGCAAUUCAGCUGAAUGCCAUCAGUUCAAUUUAACAGGGUUGCAAACCAUAAUAUUUCGUCAGGUCACAUUUCCUCUUUGAAUUCUUGUCAAGCAACUUCCUUAUUUGGCUAUGCUAUACUUUUCAGUUGCUACUUCUGCAAGAGUUAGGUGAGUUUGCAAGACAUGGAAAUUUAAAGCAGAGGACAUGUUUCUAAAAUGUUAUG
Molecule: long non-coding RNA, 685 nt
Organism: Cryptotermes secundus
Lineage: Eukaryota; Metazoa; Arthropoda; Insecta; Blattodea; Kalotermitidae
Exons: 2
Source: RefSeq, a predicted model, not a curated record